AAGACGAUACUGUUAGCCACCUUUUACUAGUAACUAACAUGGGACAUGAAAAUAUCUAAAUUGAUGGUUCAUUAAAUUAACAAUCGAUUAAGAUCGCUCGCGCGCGUUUGAAAUGAAAUAUAGCCUUACGUAAGGGACUCACGAAGUGUAAUCUACUUUAUUGUUUCUCAGUUUCCUUACAUCAAACAGCAAAAAAGGACACUGGACAGUACUUGCAUUUGAAUGAUCUUUUUUAAUACACGUCAGACUAUAACGUUAUAAUUUAUUCCACAAUCAUUUAUUCCAUCGUCGCUUUAAAUCAUGUACAUCGGUAGCUCGGUGGCUAAUCUGAAGGACAGAGUGAAUACGAUGUACUCGAAUCGUUGCAAGACACAUUGUCACCUAUAAUCUUUAAAGAUUAGUGAUUACAGAACAAGACCUCAGUACAUCAGUGAUACACCCGUCUGCGUCUCAAUUGACGCUCAACAUCGUCUUCACCAAAUCUUUACAUCAUCCCAGAUCUAAGACUGAUGAGACACGCAGUAAAAUGGAAUAUCAUCGCUCAACCAGUUGGUUCUUGGCCACCUGAUCGCUGAAGCGCACAGUUCCUUUCCGUGUCGUGUAACAUGAUUCUUAUAGACUGGCCUGCCUAGUCCAGAAUUUACAAACACGGAUCAAGAACAUUCCACAGUUCAAUCAAGAUAAGUAAGAUAUUAAGUAUAAGUGCUAAAUCCAAAAAUCCUACACAAGUUUCUAAUUAUUUCAAAUGUGUAGUCAGUAGUGACAGCAUUAUAUAUGACAAGUUGAAUUAUCCCUUUAACUCUCAGAAGUGAUUAACAUGUAGCUUCUCCCUAUAAUUUCAAUACAUCAUCCAGCAAACAGGUAA
Molecule: long non-coding RNA, 865 nt
Organism: Stylophora pistillata
Lineage: Eukaryota; Metazoa; Cnidaria; Anthozoa; Scleractinia; Pocilloporidae
Source: RefSeq, a predicted model, not a curated record